UGGGGUAUAGCUCUGUGGUAGAGUGCCUGCCUCGCAUGCACAAGGUCCUGGGUUCAACCCCCAGCACCUCCA
Molecule: transfer RNA, 72 nt
Filed under: Camelus bactrianus (Bactrian camel)
Lineage: Eukaryota; Metazoa; Chordata; Mammalia; Artiodactyla; Camelidae
Also listed under: 2 other names
Rfam family: tRNA
About the family: Transfer RNA (tRNA) molecules are approximately 80 nucleotides in length. Their secondary structure includes four short double-helical elements and three loops (D, anti-codon, and T loops).
Source: Rfam by way of RNAcentral